AGGAAAUAGAUACCCAGGUAGUCCAUGCUGUAAACGAUGGAUGCUAGCUGUGAUGCGUAUCGACCCGCGUCGUAGCGAAGCUAACGCGUUAAGCAUCCCGCCUGUGGAGUACGGCCGCAAGGCUAAAACAUAAAGGAAUUGACGGGGACCCGCACAAGCGGUGGAGCGUGUUGUUUAAUUCGAUGGUAAGCGAAGAACCUUACCCAGGUUUGACAUCCUUGGAAGUUCUGCGAAAGCAGAGUGUGCCUUCGGGAACCAAGUGACAGGUGAUGCAUGGCCGUCUUCAGCUCGUGUCGUGAGACGUUAGGUUAAGUCCUUCAACGAGCGCAACCCUUAUAGUUAGUUGUAUUUUCUAGCUAGACUGCCCUGGUAACAGGGAGGAAGGAGGGGACGAUGUCAGGUCAGUAUCUCCCUUAUAUCUGGGGCUACAAACACGCUACAAUGGCCGGUAC
This 452-nucleotide ribosomal RNA is filed under the name uncultured bacterium. RNAcentral describes it as "bacterial SSU rRNA". It matches the Rfam family "Bacterial small subunit ribosomal RNA", at positions 774 to 1240 of the family's 1533-position model. The record is from RNAcentral.